RNAcentral lists this ribosomal RNA (478 nucleotides) under uncultured bacterium. RNAcentral's name for it is "bacterial SSU rRNA". It matches the Rfam family "Bacterial small subunit ribosomal RNA", at positions 32 to 518 of the family's 1533-position model. The record is from RNAcentral.
AGAGACGCUGGCGGCGUGCCUAACACAUGCAAGUCGAACGGAGCUGAGAAGCUUGCUUUUCAGCUUAGUGGCGGACGGGUGAGUAACGCGUGAGUAACCUGCCUCCGAGAGUGGAAUAACGUUUUUGAAAAGAACGCUAAUACCGCAUAACGUAUCAGCAUCGCAUGGUGUUGAUACCAAAGAUUUUUAUCGCUCGGAGAUGGACUCGCGUCCGAUUAGUUAGUUGGUGAGGUAACGGCUCACCAAGACCGCGAUCGGUAGCCGGACUGAGAGGUUGAUCGGCCACAUUGGGACUGAGACACGGCCCAGACUCCUACGGGAGGCAGCAGUGGGGGAUAUUGCGCAAUGGGGGCAACCCUGAACCGCAGCAACGCCGCGUGAAGGAUGAAGGUUUUCGGAUUGUAAACUUCUUUUAUCAGGGACGAAAAACGACGGUACCUGAUGAAUAAGCUCCGGCUAACUACGUGCCAGCAGCAGC